RNAcentral lists this ribosomal RNA (253 nucleotides) under uncultured bacterium. RNAcentral's name for it is "partial 16S ribosomal RNA". It matches the Rfam family "Bacterial small subunit ribosomal RNA", at positions 524 to 776 of the family's 1533-position model. The record is from RNAcentral.
UACGGAGGUGGCAAGCGUUGCUCGGAAUCACUGGGCGUAAAGGGCGCGUAGGCGGGGAGGUAAGUCGGGUGUGAAAUCCCUCGGCCCAACCGAGGAACUGCGCCCGAGACUGCUUCUCUUGAGUCCCGGAGAGGAAGAUGGAAUUCCCGGUGUAGCGGUGAAAUGCGUAGAGAUGUGGAGGAACACCAGUGGCGAAGGCGGCUUUCUGGUCUGUAACUGACGCUGAGGCGCGAAAGCGUGGGGAGCAAACAGG